AGAUUUGUAAAUGGGCGCAGCCAUGAGCGCCCUACCGCGUUGCGUGAAGAAGGUCCUAUGGUUUGUAAACUGUUUUUGUACGGAAAGAAACACUCCGACUUGUCGGCGCUUGGCGGUACCGUAAGAAUAAGGAUCGGCUAACUCCGUGCCAGCCCCCGCGGUAAUAUAAUA
RNAcentral lists this ribosomal RNA (171 nucleotides) under uncultured bacterium. RNAcentral describes it as "partial 16S ribosomal RNA". The record is from RNAcentral.